This 85-nucleotide non-coding RNA is filed under the name unclassified sequences. Its description in RNAcentral is "skipping-rope RNA". It matches the Rfam family "skipping-rope RNA". From Rfam's summary of the family: Firmicutes, Fusobacteria, AlphaProteobacteria, Spirochaetes. The record is from Rfam by way of RNAcentral.
GGCUCCUGAGGUGGUCAAUUUCGUAGCUACCACGCACCCUAUGGGUUAAAAGAGAUGCAGGGGAACGCCACGCCUGCCAGGAGCC